Molecule: transfer RNA, 63 nt
Filed under: Calocaris macandreae
Lineage: Eukaryota; Metazoa; Arthropoda; Malacostraca; Decapoda; Axiidae
Description: tRNA-Leu
Source: RNAcentral
AUUAAGGUGGCAGAUAAUUGCAUAAGAUUUAAGCUCUUACUAUGAAAUAUUUUUCUCUUAAUA